RNAcentral lists this ribosomal RNA (570 nucleotides) under Solitalea canadensis. Its description in RNAcentral is "bacterial SSU rRNA". It matches the Rfam family "Bacterial small subunit ribosomal RNA", at positions 337 to 908 of the family's 1533-position model. The record is from RNAcentral. Lineage: Bacteria; Pseudomonadati; Bacteroidota; Sphingobacteriia; Sphingobacteriales; Sphingobacteriaceae.
UCCUACGGGAGGCAGCAGUAAGGAAUAUUGGUCAAUGGGCGCAAGCCUGAACCAGCCAUGCCGCGUGCAGGAAGACGGCCCUAUGGGUUGUAAACUGCUUUUGUCAGGGAAUAAACCCCCGCUCGUGAGCGGGGCUGAAGGUACCUGAAGAAUAAGCAUCGGCUAACUCCGUGCCAGCAGCCGCGGUAAUACGGAGGAUGCAAGCGUUAUCCGGAUUCAUUGGGUUUAAAGGGUGCGCAGGCGGAUUGGUAAGUCAGGGGUGAAAUCCCACAGCUCAACUGUGGAACUGCCUUUGAUACUGUCAGUCUAGAGUAUAGUUGAAGUUGGCGGAAUGUGUCAUGUAGCGGUGAAAUGCUUAGAUAUGACACAGAACACCGAUCGCGAAGGCAGCUAGCUAAGCUAUAACUGACGCUCAUGCACGAAAGCGUGGGGAUCAAACAGGAUUAGAUACCCUGGUAGUCCACGCUGUAAACGAUGAUUACUCGAUGUUGGCGAUACACAGUCAGCGUCUGAGCGAAAGCAAUAAGUAAUCCACCUGGGGAGUACGAUCGCAAGAUUAAACUCAAAGGA